AACGAACGCUGGCGGCAUGCCUAACACAUGCAAGUCGAACGAGACCUUCGGGUCUAGUGGCGCCCGGGUGCGUAACGCGUGGGAACCUUCCCUUAGGUUCGGAAUAACUCCCCGAAAGGGGUGCUAAUACCGGAUAAUGUCUUCGGCCCAAAGAUUUAUCGCCUUUGGAUGGGCCCGCGUUGGAUUAGCUAUUUGGUAGGGUAAAAGCCUACCAAGGCGACGAUCCAUAGCUGGUCUGAGAGGAUGAUCAGCCACACUGGGACUGAGACACGGCCCAGACUCCUACGGGAGGCAGCAGUGGGGAAUAUUGGACAAUGGGCGAAAGCCUGAUCCAGCAAGGCCGCGUGAGUGAUGAAGGCCUUAGGGUUGUAAAGCUCUUUUACCCGGGAUGAUAAUGACAGUACCGUGAGAAUAAGCGCCGGCUAACUCCGUG
This 433-nucleotide ribosomal RNA is filed under the name uncultured bacterium. RNAcentral's name for it is "partial 16S ribosomal RNA". It matches the Rfam family "Bacterial small subunit ribosomal RNA", at positions 29 to 507 of the family's 1533-position model. The record is from RNAcentral.